This is a long non-coding RNA of Vicia villosa (hairy vetch), 922 nucleotides long. RefSeq lists it as uncharacterized. NCBI's taxonomy places the organism in Eukaryota, Viridiplantae, Streptophyta, Magnoliopsida, Fabales, Fabaceae. The record is from RefSeq and is a predicted model, not a curated record. The transcript has 3 exons.
UAUGUAUCUUUUUCUUCUUUGCGAGUGGAUUUCUUCUACUGCACCGAUUUGUUUUGUUAGGAAAGAUUGUAUCUCUGCCAUUCAUGAAUGAAUCUAUACAAAAUUAUUCACCUGGCUUGUUAUGAUUAUUUAUUUUUUUAUUCACCUGCUAUUAUGAUUAUUUAUUUAGUGGUGAUGCUAAUACUUACUCAGAAGUGGAAGUAUUGGAAUUUGUUACAUCUUCAGAAGUGGAUGAUAAAUUUGAGAUGGACAUGGAUCAAGAUCCAAAUUUGAGUAAAAAUGAAGUGGAUUUGUAUCUCACAGAGCCUAGGGAGAAGAAAAAUCCUGAUUUUGACAUUUUAAAUUGGUGGAAGGUGAAUUCUACCAAAUACCCUACCCUUGGUCUAAUAGCUAGAGAUAUAUUGGCUAUGCCAAUAUCAACUGUUGCUUCAGAGUCUGCUUUUAGCAGGGGUAGAGUUCUUUAAUUUGUGCACAAAAUUGGUUAAGAUCUUCACCUUUGUCAGUUGAUAUUGAGGAGCAUUUGGAAGAUUUAGAGAAGCUCGAAGAAGAAUUAGCUCCCAUUCCACAAUUGAAUGAGGGACUUUCUGAUAUUGAAUCUGAUUAGUAGAUGUGCUUCAAAAGGAAAUGAAAUGAUGGAGUCAUGGAGAUGGAGACAUUGUUACUUUGGUGUAAUAUGAUAUGUAGAUGGAGUCAUGGAGAUGGGGAUGGAGACAAUGUAAUUUUUUUUGGUAUUUUGAUAUAGACAAUGUUAGUGUUGGAGACAAUGUAAUUUCUUUUAGUAUUUUGAUAUAGACAGUGUUACUGUUAGUGUUACAGUUACAGUGUAAUGUAAUUGAUAUAGUCUGAUACUUUGAUACUUCUUUUGGUAUUGAGAAAAGUGGUAAGAGGGGAUGUAUGUUUUUAUUUAAUGAACUUGUACUUA